RNAcentral lists this ribosomal RNA (728 nucleotides) under Tanakia lanceolata. Its description in RNAcentral is "partial small subunit ribosomal RNA". It matches the Rfam family "Bacterial small subunit ribosomal RNA", at positions 513 to 1533 of the family's 1533-position model. Lineage: Eukaryota; Metazoa; Chordata; Actinopteri; Cypriniformes; Acheilognathidae. The record is from RNAcentral.
UACCGCGGUUAAACGAGAGGCCCCAGUUGAUAAUAUCGCGGCGUAAAGGGUGGUUAAGGGCUGCAACCUAAUAAAGCCAAAUAGCCCUCCGGCCGUCAUACGCUUCCAGGCGCUAGAGACCCAAUCACACGAAAGUAGCUUUAAUAACACUCACCUGACCCCACGAAAGCUGAGAAACAAACUGGGAUUAGAUACCCCACUAUGCUCAGCCAUAAACCUAGACAUCGAAGCACAAUUGUAUGUCCGCCAGGGUACUACGAGCAUUAGCUUGAAACCCAAAGGACCUGACGGUGCCUCAGACCCCCCUAGAGGAGCCUGUUCUAGAACCGAUAACCCCCGUUAAACCUCACCACUUCUGGUCAACCCAGCCUAUAUACCGCCGUCGCCAGCUUACCCCGUGAGGGAAACAAAGUAAGCAAAAUGGGCACAACCCAGAACGUCAGGUCGAGGUGUAGCGCAUGAAGUGGGAAGAAAUGGGCUACAUUUUCUAUCACAGAACACUACGAAUGCGCAACAUGAAAUAGUGCUUGAAGGAGGAUUUAGUAGUAAAAGGGAAGAAGAGUGUCCUUUUGAACCCGGCUCUGAGGCGCGUACACACCGCCCGUCACUCUCCCCUGUCAAAAUGCAACAAACUUACCUAACCACAAAGCGCCGACAAGGGGAGACAAGUCGUAACAUGGUAAGUGUACCGGAAGGUGCACUUGGAUAAAACCCAGGGCGUGGCUGAG